This 386-nucleotide ribosomal RNA is filed under the name uncultured bacterium. Its description in RNAcentral is "bacterial SSU rRNA". It matches the Rfam family "Bacterial small subunit ribosomal RNA", at positions 29 to 408 of the family's 1533-position model. The record is from RNAcentral.
AACGAACGCUGGCGGCGCGCCUAAUACAUGCAAGUCGAGCGAGAAGACGUAGCAAUACGUUUGUAAAGCGGCGAACGGGUGAGGAAUACAUGGGUAACCUACCCUCGAGUGGGAAUAACUAGCCGAAAGGUUAGCUAAUACCGCGUACGCUCCUUGGACUUCGGUUCAGGGAGGAAAGCGAUACCGUGGGUAUCGCGCUCUUGGAUGGGCUCAUGCCCUAUCAGCUUGUUGGUGAGGUAACGGCUCACCAAGGCUUCGACGGUAGCUGGUCUGAGAGGACAAUCAGCCACACUGGCACUGCGACACGGGCCAGACUCCUACGGGAGGCAGCAGUAAGGAAUAUUGCGCAAUGGGCAAAGCCUGACGCAGCGACGCCGCGGUGGGGG